CUCAUUUAUAAAGUGAUGAAAAGAAAUCAUUGCAAGUGCUGCUAAAUGAUUGAAGAUGACUUCAGGGACACGUUGAGCUUGCUCUCUGCUGCAGAAUAAUAGACAAAUGCCAGAAGGAUCCCUGAGAGAGCAGUCAUGGAAGAGAGCCCGAAAUGGAAAGAAGCAGUGCUGUGUAGCUGUUUCUUCCAGUUUGAAACAUUCCUUUGGAGAAGGAAGAGGGAGGCUUAUAAGACUCAAGAAGAAACGUGAGGCCUUUACAGUAUCAGACGUUUAAGAAAGUUAUGACCCACCGGGCUUCUUCUCAAGAUUGUUGGUCUCUGAGCCUUGGAGAGGGAUUUCGACAUAAAUAUUCCAUUGGAGACUGAGCAGGCACUCCGAUGUACCUUGAAUGAUU
RNAcentral lists this long non-coding RNA (394 nucleotides) under Cricetulus griseus (Chinese hamster). RNAcentral's name for it is "lncRNA (ENSCGRG00015041699.1)". Lineage: Eukaryota; Metazoa; Chordata; Mammalia; Rodentia; Cricetidae. The record is from RNAcentral.